UACGAAGGGGGCUAGCGUUGCUCGGAAUCACUGGGCGUAAAGCGCACGUAGGCGGAUUGUUAAGUCAGGGGUGAAAUCCUGGAGCUCAACUCCAGAACUGCCUUUGAUACUGGCGAUCUUGAGUCCGGGAGAGGUGAGUGGAACUGCGAGUGUAGCGGUGAAAUGCGCAGAUAUCGGGAAGAACACCCGUGGCGAAGGCGGUUCUCUGGGACGGUACUGACGCUGAGACGCGAAAGCGUGGGGAGCGAACAGG
Molecule: ribosomal RNA, 253 nt
Filed under: uncultured bacterium
Lineage: Bacteria
Description: partial 16S ribosomal RNA
Rfam family: Bacterial small subunit ribosomal RNA
Source: RNAcentral